UUGUAUAUAUAUUAUGAUUGUAUUUCAUGGCAUAAUUUUCGCCAAAUGGCAAAUAGAAUGCAUUAGGACAAAGACAGUUACGUGACUUUUCACGACUGUCCUUCAGAAAAACACAUUUGAAUUUUUUUAAAGUGAUAAACGAAUAGUUGACUUGUGGUCAUCCAACGUCGUUUAUUAUACUUUAACCUGUAGUUUGUUCGACUCGGGUAACCAUGUCUUGUCUAAACCAUUCUUAGUCAGCUAGUGUAGAGCGAAGCCAAAACCUUAAAUUUAGCGCAUUUGCUUGAGAUGAGUCAACACUCAAGACAUAUUUGUAUAAGACAUGCAUUAAUUGUUUGUACAUUAUGUGAUAUACCUAUUUUACGUGAAUAUGUUGUAUGAUAGUCCAUUAUUUUAAAAUUUCUUUAAGAGCUUCAUAGACAUAAAUAUCUAGUCACUAUCAAGUCACUUUUACCUUUUGAGUUGUUUUUGAAAGCUCGAAGGUUAUUGCUCGUUCGGAGCGACAAGGGACAAGAGAACUCGCAAAAAAUGAGUCUUUGGAUUUCACAAGACAAUAAUAACCCAUCGAAAAGACAAAUAAGGGGAGUCUUUGACUACGAGGUCGCACUCGUCUAUUUUUUGUUAUGUAUUUUGCAUGUUGGUCCUGCUUUCACACAUUUCUAAUAUUUUUGCAGGAAAAUCAUCCCCGACUAUAGUCGGGGAUGGUGAUAAUAAUGUAUAGUUUUUGGGAAUCAUUAGGAGUAUACACAGUUUGAAGAGACAUCCAAAAAAGAAUACAACAAGUGGUUACCGUAGAAAUUUGGAAGCCACAUUCAACAGACAAUGCAAAGAUUGACAAUUAAGAGGAUGCAAAACAUAUUGGUACAAAAAGUCAAAAAACACUUCCUGACUAUUGAUUUCAGUGACACUAGACCUAAGGGGAAUUGCUCUGAGUUUGUCUGAAUCUUUAAAUUAUUUUUAUGUCAUAUCUGAACAAAUUAUGCGAACCUAAUUAUCAUCUCGAUGAAAUAUGUAGGAAACCCUUCUUAGGCUCGGUAUCCAUUUUUUUAAAUUUUAAAAAUAAAAAGUAAUAGUUCGUGCAUAUUUUC
Molecule: long non-coding RNA, 1088 nt
Filed under: Solanum tuberosum (potato)
Lineage: Eukaryota; Viridiplantae; Streptophyta; Magnoliopsida; Solanales; Solanaceae
Description: long non-coding RNA (STUB_LNC010137)
Source: RNAcentral